CUCAGGGAGGUAGUGACAAGAAAUAACAACACUGGAAAUUUUAUUUCUAGUGAUUGGAAUGAUGGGAAUUUAAACCCCUUUCAGAGUAACAAUUGGAGGGCAAGUCUGGUGCCAGCAGCCGCGGUAAUUCCAGCUCCAAUAGCGUAUAUUAAAGUUGUUGCAGUUAAAAAGCUCGUAGUUGGAUGUCUGCUGGAAGCAAUCAGUCCGCCCUAUUUGUAGGGUGUGCACUUGAUGAAUUCUGGCAUUUUUGUCCCAAUGAUGUAGCGGGGCGGUAGUAUUCGGUGAAAGCCGAGUAUCCUGUUCCGAUUAUUGGGAUACUGUUACUUUGAGAAAAUUAGAGUGUUUGAAGCAGGCUAAUUGCCUUGAAUACUGCAGCAUGGAAUASCAAUAUAGGAUUUCGGUUCUAUUUUGUUGGUUUCUAGGACUGAAAUAAUGAUUAAUAGGGACAGUUGGGGGCAUUCGUAUUUAACUGUCAGAGGUGAAAUYCUUAGAUUUGUUAAAGACGAACUACUGCGAAAGCAUUUGCCAAAGAUGUUUUCAUUAAUCAAGAACGAAAGUUAGGGGCUCGAAGACGAUCAGAUACCGUCGUAGUCUUAACCAUAAACURUGCCGACUAGAGAUAGGAAAAUGUCAUUUUGCUGACUU
RNAcentral lists this ribosomal RNA (645 nucleotides) under Sarcocystis sp. Its description in RNAcentral is "SSU rRNA". Lineage: Eukaryota; Apicomplexa; Conoidasida; Eucoccidiorida; Sarcocystidae. The record is from RNAcentral.